This 253-nucleotide ribosomal RNA is filed under the name uncultured bacterium. RNAcentral describes it as "partial 16S ribosomal RNA". It matches the Rfam family "Bacterial small subunit ribosomal RNA", at positions 524 to 776 of the family's 1533-position model. The record is from RNAcentral.
UACGGAGGGGGCAAGCGUUAUUCGGAAUUAUUGGGCGUAAAGGGUGCGUAGGUGAGUUGGUAAGUCAGUGGUGAAAUCCCCGAGCUUAACUUGGGAACUGCCAUUGAUACUAUCAGUCUUGAAUAUUGUGGAGGUUAGCGGAAUAUGUCAUGUAGCGGUGAAAUGCUUAGAUAUGACAUAGAACACCAAUUGCGAAGGCAGCUGGCUACGCAUAUAUUGACACUGAGGCACGAAAGCGUGGGGAUCAAACAGG